Molecule: ribosomal RNA, 429 nt
Filed under: bacterium
Lineage: Bacteria
Description: partial 16S ribosomal RNA
Rfam family: Bacterial small subunit ribosomal RNA
Source: RNAcentral
UGGGGAAUCUUCCGCACUGGACGAAAGUCUGACGGAGCAACGCCGCGUGAGUGAUGACGGCCUUCGGGUUGUAAAGCUCUGUUAAUCGGGACGAAUGGUUCUUGUGCAAAUAGUGCGAGGAUUUGACGGUACCGGAAUAGAAAGCCACGGCUAACUACGUGCCAGCAGCCGCGGUAAUACGUAGGUGGCAAGCGUUGUCCGGAAUUAUUGGGCGUAAAGCGCGCGCAGGCGGAUUGGUCAGUCUGUCUUAAAAGUUCUGGGCUUAACCCCGUGAUGGGAUGGAAAGUGCAAAUCUGAAGUAUCGGAGAGGAAAGUGGAAUUCCUAGUGUAGCGGUGAAAUGCGUAGAUAUUAGGAAGAACACCAGUGGGGAAGGCGACUUGCUGAACGAAAACUGACGCUGAGGCGCGAAAGCCAGGGGAGCGAACGGG